GACGAACGCUGGCGGCGUGCCUAAUACAUGCAAGUAGAACGCUGAAGGAGGAGCUUGCUUCUCUGGAUGAGUUGCGAACGGGUGAGUAACGCGUAGGUAACCUGCCUGGUAGCGGGGGAUAACUAUUGGAAACGAUAGCUAAUACCGCAUAAUAGUAGAUGUUGCAUGACAUUUGCUUAAAAGGUGCAAUUGCAUCACUACCAGAUGGACCUGCGUUGUAUUAGCUAGUUGGUGGGGUAACGGCUCACCAAGGCGACGAUACAUAGCCGACCUGAGAGGGGGAUCGGCCACACUGGGACUGAGACACGGCCCAGACUCCUACGGGAGGCAGCAGUAGGGAAUCUUCGGCAAUGGACGGAAGUCUGACCGAGCAACGCCGCGUGAGUGCAGAAGGUUUUCGGAUCGUAAAGCUCUGUUGUAAGAGAAGAACGAGUGUGAGAGUGGAAAGUUCACACUGUGACGGUAUCUUACCAGAAAGGGACGGCUAACUACGUG
Molecule: ribosomal RNA, 495 nt
Filed under: uncultured bacterium
Lineage: Bacteria
Description: partial 16S ribosomal RNA
Rfam family: Bacterial small subunit ribosomal RNA
Source: RNAcentral